Molecule: microRNA precursor, 96 nt
Filed under: Mesocestoides corti
Lineage: Eukaryota; Metazoa; Platyhelminthes; Cestoda; Cyclophyllidea; Mesocestoididae
Description: microRNA mco-mir-7b precursor
Gene: mco-mir-7b
Source: miRBase by way of RNAcentral
UGGAAGACUUGUGAUUAGGUUGUUACGCAAAAUACGUUUUGUCAUCAUCAAAAUGCGAAACAUGCACCUAUUAACAACUGUCACGGUCUUCCAAGG